This 253-nucleotide ribosomal RNA is filed under the name uncultured bacterium. Its description in RNAcentral is "partial 16S ribosomal RNA". It matches the Rfam family "Bacterial small subunit ribosomal RNA", at positions 524 to 776 of the family's 1533-position model. The record is from RNAcentral.
UACGGGGGGGGCAAGCGUUGUUCGGAAUUACUGGGCGUAAAGGGCUCGUAGGCUGCCAACUAAGUCGGACGUGAAAUCCCUCGGCUUAACCGGGGAACUGCGUCCGAUACUGGAUGGCUUGAGUUUGGGAGAGGGAUGCGGAAUUCCAGGUGUAGCGGUGAAAUGCGUAGAUAUCUGGAGGAACACCGGUGGCGAAGGCGGCAUCCUGGACCGGUAUUGACGCUGAGGCGCGAAAGCUAGGGGAGCAAACGGG